GACGGGGGAGGCAAGCGGUAUCCGGAGUUAUUGGGCGUAAAGGGUACGUAGGCGGCUGGUCAAGUCUGGGGUCAAAGGCCACAGCUCAACUGUGGAAAGGCCCUGGAAACUGACCGGCUAGAGUGAGGUAGGGGUUGCGGGAAUUCCCGGUGUAGCGGUGAAAUGCGUAGAGAUCGGGAAGAACACCUGAGGCGGAAGCGCGCAACUGGGCCUCAACUGACGCUGAGGUACGAAAGCUAGGGGAGCGAAUGGG
RNAcentral lists this ribosomal RNA (253 nucleotides) under uncultured bacterium. RNAcentral describes it as "partial 16S ribosomal RNA". It matches the Rfam family "Bacterial small subunit ribosomal RNA", at positions 524 to 776 of the family's 1533-position model. The record is from RNAcentral.